CAGCAGCCGCGGUAAUACGAAGGGUGCAAGCGUUACUCGGAAUUACUGGGCGUAAAGCGUGCGUAGGUGGUUUUGUAAGACAGGCGUGAAAUCCCAGGGCUUAACCUUGGAACUGCGUUUGUGACUGCAAGACUUGAGUGUCGGAGAGGUUGGCGGAAUUCCUAGUGUAGAGGUGAAAUUCGCAGAUAUUAGGAGGAACACCGAUGGCGUAAGCAGCCAACUGGACGACUACUGACGCUGAGAUACGAAAGCGUGGGGAGCA
RNAcentral lists this ribosomal RNA (262 nucleotides) under uncultured bacterium. RNAcentral describes it as "partial 16S ribosomal RNA". It matches the Rfam family "Bacterial small subunit ribosomal RNA", at positions 509 to 770 of the family's 1533-position model. The record is from RNAcentral.